UGCUAUCGGUGUUCGCCUAAGCCAUGCGAGUCAUAUGUUCUUCGUGAACAUGGCGUACUGCUCAGUAACACGUGGAUAACCUGCCCUUGGGUCCGGCAUAACCCCGGGAAACUGGGGAUAAUUCCGGAUAACGCAUAUAUGCUGGAAUGCUUUAUGCGUAAAACGGAUUCGUCUGCCCAAGGAUGGGUCUGCGGCCUAUCAGGUAGUAGUGGGUGUAAUGUACCUACUAGCCAACAACGGGUACGGGUUGUGAGAGCAAGAGCCCGGAGAUGGAUUCUGAGACAUGAAUCCAGGCCCUACGGGGCGCAGCAGGCGCGAAAACUUUACAAUGCGGGAAACCGUGAUAAGGGGACACCGAGUGCCAGCGUCAUACGCUGGCUGUCCAGGUGUGUAAAAUACACCUGUUAGCAAGGGCCGGGCAAGACCGGUGCCAGCCGCCGCGGUAACACCGGCGGCCCGAGUGGUGAUCGUGAUUAUUGGGUCUAAAGGGUCCGUAGCC
This 499-nucleotide ribosomal RNA is filed under the name methanogenic archaeon F1/B-3. RNAcentral's name for it is "bacterial SSU rRNA". It matches the Rfam family "Archaeal small subunit ribosomal RNA", at positions 28 to 526 of the family's 1478-position model. Lineage: Archaea; Methanobacteriati; Methanobacteriota. The record is from RNAcentral.